This 138-nucleotide ribosomal RNA is filed under the name uncultured eukaryote. RNAcentral describes it as "partial 18S ribosomal RNA". It matches the Rfam family "Eukaryotic small subunit ribosomal RNA", at positions 1299 to 1458 of the family's 1831-position model. The record is from RNAcentral.
UGGUGGAGUGAUUUGUCUGGUUAAUUCCGAUAACGAACGAGACCUUAACCUGCUAAAUAGCCAGGCCGGCUUUCGCUGGUCGCCGGCUUCUUAGAGGGACUGUCAGCAUCUAGCUGACGGAAGUUUGAGGCAAUAACA